AUGAAUCAGACAGAUGACAAUAUGCACAAAAGGUCCACUGAAAUAAUUUAAUCAGGAAAUGAGGUAAGACCAAAUAAAAUUAAGAUAAAAUGCCUCUAAUACAUGGCAUAUGAGAUGAACAAGGGAGGAUCAAAAGAUCUCUUCAAUUGCCAUAAGCAAUCCCUAAGUCAAACAUCGAUCAUAAAGAAGUCAACUGAAAUUCAAGUCAACUUAAAAAAUAUGAAAUAAAUAGCAAAUUAAUCAAGAAAAUUAUGAAAAAUUAAACUAAGUUAGGUGGAGUCAGG
RNAcentral lists this long non-coding RNA (284 nucleotides) under Lathyrus oleraceus (garden pea). RNAcentral describes it as "Pisum sativum (pea) long non-coding RNA (PSAT_LNC035969)". Lineage: Eukaryota; Viridiplantae; Streptophyta; Magnoliopsida; Fabales; Fabaceae. The record is from RNAcentral.